RNAcentral lists this ribosomal RNA (225 nucleotides) under uncultured bacterium. RNAcentral describes it as "partial 16S ribosomal RNA". It matches the Rfam family "Bacterial small subunit ribosomal RNA", at positions 524 to 750 of the family's 1533-position model. The record is from RNAcentral.
UACGUAGGGUGCGAGCGUUGUCCGGAAUUAUUGGGCGUAAAGAGCUCGUAGGCGGCUUGUCGCGUCGUCCGUGAAACCCCAGGCUCAACCUGGAGCGCCACCCGAUACUGCUGUGCGUAGAGUCCAGUAGGGGAGUGUGGAAUUCCGGUGUAGCGGUGAAAUGCGCAGAUAUCGGGAGGAACACCAGCGGCGAGGCGGACACUCUGGCUGGAACGUGACGCUGAG